This 1773-nucleotide long non-coding RNA is filed under the name Apteryx owenii (little spotted kiwi). Its description in RNAcentral is "lncRNA (ENSAOWG00000016475.1)". The record is from RNAcentral. Lineage: Eukaryota; Metazoa; Chordata; Aves; Apterygiformes; Apterygidae.
AAUUCUUCCCCCACCCAUCAGCAAAGAAAAAGGGAGGUGGGGGUGGCUAACCUUCCCUCUUUCUGUCAUGCUAAGCCUGGCCUGUGUCUUCUAGUUGUUGCUUUAGAAAGAGUCUGGGCCUUUCUGGAAGCCUUUGCAGAGCUGUUCCUGAUUGACUGCUCCCUCCGACUGGGGAAGGAAAUCAGAUGCACCAAGACGGCUGGGGUUGAGUGGAGAUGGGCAGCGUGUGUAGGGAUAAGUCAAGGGACUCUCUCCUGUGCUCGUAACCUCAGGCGCUCCACAGUCCCCCCUGUCAUCCUACAUCACCGCCGGGAAGCAAGGGCACCGUUUUCAGGGGGUGGCAGGUGCUGUCGGCACAAGCAGCCGCUUUGGCAGAACUAGGACAGCGCUCGGGAGAUUGCUUCCUUAGGAGACGCGUGCUCAGCCUGGAGGAGUUGGUUAAACAUACUCCUGGUGCGACCCUUGAUGGGUCUGGUAUAAGCACAGCCUCCACCACAAGCCUCCUGGGAGCUCCGAAGUCAGCGCUUUCACUGUAAAUGCUUCCUCUGUGCAAGUGGGCAGAGAACCUGUGUGGCUCCGAUGCUUGCAAGAAGAGGGAUGGAGCUGCGGUUUGAACUACUUUCCCUGAGAAAUAACAUCCCAAAGCUUUCUAGGCCUAUUAGGAAUCACAGCUUGACACUCAAUGACACUAAAUUAUUAUUGGGAUCUGUUGACUCUGCAGAGCCGGCUGCGGUGGCGAGAUGUUUCCCUCCAGUGGCGGAAGAACAGACGCAGGCGGUGGUUUCAGGCCCAGGGCAGAGCCAUGAGAACAGGACAUGCAGACCAGGGGAGCAAACACAGCAGCAUUUUCAGCAGGCUUUUUGGUCCUAUGAAUUGUCAGGUCUUGUGGCUGCUGGGCUGCGCUGUGGAGUGAGAACUGCUCGCGCUAUCUGCGUCCCCAGGUCAGCCUGCUCCAGCUCAGUCAGUGUUUACCUCCUGAAUGCUAACCGCAAGACUUGCAGAGCCUCCCCUGGAAAAAAACAGCUCAGGACAGUUAUUUUUAUGGAAAUAAUGAAGCAGGCAAUCGGUGAGUGGGUUUGUAGCCUUUUUGGAGGUAACCCUUCAGCUGCUGGGAGCACCCACUGCCAUUGGGGCAGGCUGCGUGCUCUGUCCCCAGCCUCCUGGCCCCAGUGUCACCGCACUGUUCCCACUUCUGCCUUCCCCAGGCCAUGGCAGCAGUUUGCUCCUCCAUCCUGGAGAAAGGUGAGGUUGCAUUUCGCUGAGGGCUGGCUAGGUUUGGCGCCCCGCCACGCUCUUGUGCUGGUUCUCUUUAGCCCAUGGCAAGCAUAUGCCGAACAUCCCACCCUGCUGUGUGUUUUUAUGAGUACAAGCUUCUCAUUCUGUACAUGUUAUUAUGAGCUAUUGUUAACCCUACAAAUGUAACCUGUGUAAUAGCUUUUCUGUAUAUUACAGCUGUAGGCUUUCCAGAUAAAAGUGGAUAAUAUUUAUUUACUGAAGAUAUUGGAUAUUUUUUUGUUUGGGAAUGGGGUAGGGGGAGAAGGGGGAUGUAACUGUUUAAAGAGAUUGACUAUGUAAAGAGAAACAAAAUACCCAAAAAGCAAAGAAACCCAACACUAAAAUGUUGCUGUAUUCAUGUAGAAAGUGUUUACGUAAGGAUGAUACAACUGUAUUAAUCUACCAUUGUUUAACUCGUUCCGGAAAUCAUCUCUACUUUGGUUCCUGCAUGUGAGAUACUCCAAUAAAUGCACUACUAGUGUGAACUGUAGGAUGGUA